GCAGCAACGCGCUGACGGUGGCGCAGAAGAUGAUCGAGAUGUUCGUCAGGACCAAACACAAAAUCGACAAAAGCCACGAGUUCGCCCUGGUGGUCGUCAACAACGACGUCACCUGGCUGUCGGGGUUCACCUCAGACCCCCGCGAGGUUUGCAGCUGCCUCUACGACCUGGACACCGUCGUGUGCCAGUCCUUCAAUCUGGACGGGCUCUUCAACCUCAU
Pseudopodoces humilis (Tibetan ground-tit) is the source of this 220-nucleotide non-coding RNA. The record is from RefSeq and is a predicted model, not a curated record. Lineage: Eukaryota; Metazoa; Chordata; Aves; Passeriformes; Paridae.